UACGAAGGGGGCUAGCGUUGCUCGGAAUUACUGGGCGUAAAGGGCGCGUAGGCGGACAGUUUAGUCAGAGGUGAAAGCCCAGGGCUCAACCUUGGAAUUGCCUUUGAUACUGGCUGUCUUGAGUUCGGGAGAGGUGAGUGGAAUGCCGAGUGUAGAGGUGAAAUUCGUAGAUAUUCGCAAGAACACCAGUGGCGAAGGGCGGCUCACUGGCCCGGUACUGACGCUGAGGUGCGAAAGCGUGGGGAGCAAACAGGG
Molecule: ribosomal RNA, 255 nt
Filed under: uncultured bacterium
Lineage: Bacteria
Description: partial 16S ribosomal RNA
Rfam family: Bacterial small subunit ribosomal RNA
Source: RNAcentral